UCACCCUGGAGGGCCCGAGAGAAGCACAGAGAAGAGAAAUGGGAUUCGUGUUAAGGCCCGAAAUGACAGGUUCAUCCUUGGUUGUGCUGGUCAAUGCCCAACAAUCUUGUGCCAGAACAUUAAAAAACAAAACAAAAAACGUUGUGUGCCAACAUCUUCAUACUGAUAUAGAACUUUUACCUCCUUGUUAGUACAUGGUCAUAGGAUGCUAGGGUGCGACAGAAAUGAACGAGUUUACAGUACCCACAACUGUCUAAUCAGAAUGAUUUAAAAGCCCCCGGAACAAGAUAGACUCAAGACAACUCUAUCAGCUGACCCGUCACACAUGCUUUCUCUGCUCAACAGGGAAGACACCUGCCCUGAGCGGGAGUCCACACACAGGAAAGCUCAACUCUGACCACACCGGACUGAGGAGGCUGACCCAGUGAAAAGGACCCCAAAUCUGCUACCUGUGGACCUCUCGAAAAGAAAGGGAUGUGGCAAAAUACUGGAAGGACUGUGAGGGGAGCACACAGAGGGAUGCAUGAAACUCUCCAGCGUGGCUCGAGAAGAUGGCUUUGCGAAGCCACAGACUGCGUGGGGAGAACCCACCUAGGAGCAAGAAGGGCUCCUAAUGGAUCACCAAGUACCGACAACUCAGUAUGUGCCUCGGAUGAGAGGUGGACUGCGGCACGAAAAGCUUUAUAAUGAUGGAGACAGUUUAGUAAGUGUCUGAUAAAAUUUGCCUGGACAGGAAAAACCUACAUGGACCUAAUUUUUUUUGGAGAUUUUUUUUUU
Long non-coding RNA from Acinonyx jubatus (cheetah), 777 nucleotides. RefSeq lists it as uncharacterized. Lineage: Eukaryota; Metazoa; Chordata; Mammalia; Carnivora; Felidae. The transcript is spliced from 2 exons. The record is from RefSeq and is a predicted model, not a curated record.